RNAcentral lists this small nucleolar RNA (136 nucleotides) under Dasypus novemcinctus (nine-banded armadillo). RNAcentral's name for it is "Small nucleolar RNA SNORA1 (ENSDNOG00000029352.1)". It matches the Rfam family "Small nucleolar RNA SNORA1". From Rfam's summary of the family: ACA1 is a member of the H/ACA class of snoRNA that guide the sites of modification of uridines to pseudouridines. Lineage: Eukaryota; Metazoa; Chordata; Mammalia; Cingulata; Dasypodidae. The record is from RNAcentral.
AGCCUCAUUCCAUAUUAGAAUGGGCACAGUUGAUCAUGGUGUCCAGAAUUGCUUAUGUGGCUAAACUGAGAGGCAGGUUUUAUGCUUCCAUCACAGUAAAUUUAUUGCACUGGUGACAAUGAGACUUGAAACUUUU